This 399-nucleotide ribosomal RNA is filed under the name Triticum aestivum (bread wheat). RNAcentral's name for it is "partial small subunit ribosomal RNA". The record is from RNAcentral. Lineage: Eukaryota; Viridiplantae; Streptophyta; Magnoliopsida; Poales; Poaceae.
AUGCCAAAGCUUCUCGCCAUCUCCAUCUUGCCGUUUAUUUUGGGUCGUAGCCAAGCACUGAACCUUCAACACGCUUGCCGUGCCUUAUUUUGCAGAGCGGCGAGGGAGGAGAAGGAAGAGGAGCGGGGGAUGGCGGGCUGCGGUGAAGCCAAGACAUCAUCGGUUUCCAUGGAUGAAGAGGCGUGCGGCAUGGAGAAGAAGUUUGGCGGGAUGGCGCCCAAGAAGCCGCUCAUAUCAAAGGACCAUGAGCGUGCCUACUUCGACUCCGCGGAUUGGGUCCUUGGCAAGCAAGCUGCAAACAGCAGCUCAACGGCUGCGGUGGAAUCGCUCAAGCCCAAGCUCAAGAGAACUCCUCAUCCCCAGCUUCCCCCUCGCAAGCCCACCUGUGCGUCUGGCUGA